RNAcentral lists this ribosomal RNA (491 nucleotides) under uncultured bacterium. RNAcentral's name for it is "partial 16S ribosomal RNA". It matches the Rfam family "Bacterial small subunit ribosomal RNA", at positions 29 to 506 of the family's 1533-position model. The record is from RNAcentral.
AGUGAACGCUGGCGGUAGGCCUAACACAUGCAAGUCGAACGGCAGCACAGUAAGAGCUUGCUCUUACGGGUGGCGAGUGGCGGACGGGUGAGGAAUACAUCGAAAUCUACUUUUUCGUGGGGGAUAACGUAGGGAAACUUACGCUAAUACCGCAUACGACCUACGGGUGAAAGCAGGGGAUCUUCGGACCUUGCGCGAUUGAAUGAGCCGAUGUCGGAUUAGCUAGUUGGCGGGGUAAAGGCCCACCAAGGCGACGAUCCGUAGCUGGUCUGAGAGGAUGAUCAGCCACACUGGAACUGAGACACGGUCCGGACUCCUACGGGAGGCAGCAGUGGGGAAUAUUGGACAAUGGGCGCAAGCCUGCUCCAGCCAUACCGCGUGGGUGAAGAAGGCCUUCGGGUUGUAAAGCCCUUUUGUUGGGAAAGAAAGGCAGCAGGUUAAUACCCCGCUGUUCUGACGGUACCCAAAGAAUAAGCACCGGCUAACUUCGU